RNAcentral lists this long non-coding RNA (3398 nucleotides) under Sus scrofa (pig). RNAcentral's name for it is "lncRNA (ENSSSCG00040039763.1)". Lineage: Eukaryota; Metazoa; Chordata; Mammalia; Artiodactyla; Suidae. The record is from RNAcentral.
GCGCAGGACUCCACGAUGUCUCCCUGGGAAAUUAGGGCUUUCAGUUCGUUGUUAUUGACUACCGUGGGGAUUUGUUUUCUGUCCUGCUACGUAAAUGUCUUUAUGGAGUCAUUGCUGCUGUGCUUCAGGGAAGGUUUGCACUUCACAGAGGUGGCCCUUUCUUCAGCAUCCAUCACGGUCGUCUGCAAAUGUCAGCAGCUCUGAGUCGGAACUGCUCCAGCCCAGCUCGCCCUCCUGGGCAACCUCAUCAUCUCCCCAGCACCAGCCCCCAUCACCAUGGAAUACCUGCUUAGGUGGCCUAGUGUUUCUCCACCACCCUCUUCUCGGCACUGAGCAUUGCUGUUGGGGGUAAAGGUUAGGGGAAAGACUUUGGGCCACACUUUUUUUUUCUUAUUCUAGCCGAAAGCCAGAAUGCACAAAAGGAAGAGGCCAAAGAGAUCCAUGGUGGUUGAGGUGAGAAGAUGCUGGGCUUCUGGACACAAGGAGGAGUGAGGGGAGUAGACACCCCACCAUUCUCUUACUCGUGAGGGACACCUGCAUAGGCUGCUAUAGCCACCGUGGCCGAGAAAAAAACUAGCUCUCCCAAGACGCCCCACCCUAAUCUCUGGAACCUGUGAAUGUGUUAGGUUACAUGGCAAACAGGAUUUAAGGGUGCAGAUGGCAUGAAGGUUGUCAAUCAGAUGACCCCGAAAUAGAGGGAUUAGCCUGGAUUACCUGAGAGGCCGAUGUAAUCACAGGGUCGGUCCUUAAAGGGGGAAGAGGGGAUUGCAAGAGAUGCCAGAGAGACAGCAGCCUGAGGACUCAGAUCAAUGUUGCUGCCUUUGAAGGAGGAGAAGGCGGCCAUGAGGCAGGACAGGCAGGCAGCUUCUAGAAGCUUGAAAAGGCUAGAAAAGGGAUCUCUCUUAGACCUUCUAUACAGGCAACGCACCCUGCCAGCACCUUGUUCUGACCCUGGUGACUUCCGUGUCAGACAUGUGAUCUACAGAACUGUAAGCUGUUAAAUUUGGGGUUUUUUAAACAAAACAAAACUAAAUAUAAAAUUGGCAACAAUUUGUUGCAGCCGCAACAGGGAACUAAUACAAUCUAUAAACCUUAAAUACUCUCAAUUUGUGAACCUUUUGUCAACCAGAAGAAAAUGUCCCAUUUGAGAGUUUUCAUAUCAUGUUUUAGAUUUAAAACACUAUCCAGAACUGCACACCUGCUCCGUUUUCCUAGAAAAACCACUUUCUCAUGGCCUACAAAAUUUGCCAUGAUUUUCUUAAGGUGUAUAUGAAGUUAAGCUCUGGUCAACUGGUCAGUUUGGUCUUGCUCUGAAAACUUUCAAAAAAGCAAUUUUGUGUUUGAACCAACUUUGUUAAAUUGGUGAAAGGUGGCCAUGGUUGCUAAGAGAAGCUGCCAGGGUGUUUCCAUGGGAACAAUUGUUUUUAAAUCAGGAAUAACAAGCUCUCUCUGUAAAGAGCUGAAAUAGGGAAGGCAGGGGAGGAGGCUACUUCUUACUUCUUCCUCAUAAAGAGGAAACAGCCAGAGGUUUCCUGCCAGUUCCUGAAGUUCAGCAGACAUUGCCCUGACACUUUGUGAAGGGCAAUAGUAAAUGCAUGCGUUUCAGGUUCAAACAGAUCUGGGUGUGAAUUCCUGAUUCACCAGAGCCACCUGCAAGACCUAGAGUAAGACGCGGAACUACCCUGGGAUGCUGUUGUGUUAGUCAGGAAACGGGGAUUAUGAGAGUAGGACUCACCUCCUGGGAUGGGUGUGGUUCCAUGAGAAAACACACGCAAUGUGUCAUGGACAGUCCCCGGGAAGUAGUAAGAUCUCAAUCCCUGAUGGUGCUGUCAUACUCGGACAAGAGACUGGUUGCAAAGCUCCAUAUUGUGCUUCCAAACCAACUCAGAGAAAGACGUUUUAGAGAUUUCCAAGCCAUCCGGUGCUGAGAGGCGGUUCUCUGGUUUAUGACUGGUAGGAGCUCAGCCCACAUGUAAGUCACCUUGAGGCAGCCACACUAGUCUGUACUCCCCACAAGGAGCAAGUCCAGUGCUCCCGUGCUUGGCCGUCCUGGUGACACCAUCAAAACUUUGGCUCUCUUGGUGGACCGAGUGGACUGGCCCUGAUCGGGGCACCUGCUUUGAGGUGCACUUCUCUAGGUGGCAGCAACUGUUUAUUUUCUCUGAUUUCACUGGAGAAUGACUGGUGAGAAGGGGCAGAAGGUAAUGGGAGGGGGGCCAGCCCAGGCCGUAAGCAAGCACAGGAACUUUGGUGACCGACUGACCGGAUUGCAGAAACUUCCACCACCAUAAAGGGAAAAGGCUCAGCUGUGUGCAAGGGGCCACGUCUAGGAUGGGGAGCUGGGAAAGUAGCUAAAUCCUGGGUUGAACUGGUAGGACUAGACAGGAAAGAAACUAGAGGUUGACCAGUUGUCAGCAGAAGGGCCAUGAGAGGAUGGGGUACAAAUGAUAGACAGGGGGGACCUGGGGCAGCUCUGCCCUGGGGGAUGUGUGUUCCUGGCUUGGCAAGCCCGAGGGGUGGUGGUGAGCUGUCUGUGAGACCAGGCUGGUCAGCUCAGGCCAGUCAGCUCAGGCCAUCAGAAAAACUCCCCUUGCCGCCAGCAGAGCUGGCCUUCAGGUAAGAUCUCCGUGAGAAACGUUCAUCUGGGCCCAGCGUCAGGCAGCGUCAGACCUUCUUAACUGGUGUCUUCCUGUCUGAGGUCAGAACUGGGGACUUGCUCGGGCAGCCCUUUUUGCCACGGGCUGCUGGAAACCUUAGGGCCACAUAUGUCCUCCAUGUGGCGCAGGUGUGAAGUCUCGGGGGCACGCGUGUCGGAUUGAGAUUCGGUUCUGCAUUCGUCUUAUGUCCCCGCUCUGGUUUGUCUUUCUGACUUAACACUUAAACAUUGAUGACUCGUGCUCCUGAAAUAGAAAAGUAUGCGUUUAAAUUUAACUUGUCUUCAUUUUACAAAUAAUUUUUUUGUCAUUACAAAAUGGUAUAAUCUAUGGUGCGCUGAAAUUUAUGAUCCAAUCUACCUGUAUCUGUGGCGUCCUCGUGAGUCCCAUGUCUACAGCAUCAUCUAUAAUCAGAAGAGCACAGUCCUCUGUAUGCUAAAGAGAAAGCAGACAAAAAUAAGAAAAACUCACCUCUAAUCCCACUGCUAUUAAUAUUUAGAGGAGGAGUUCCCGUUGUGGCGCAGUGGUUAACGAAUCCGACUAGGAACCAUGAGGUUGCGGGUUUGAUCCCUGGCCUUGCUCAGUGGGUUGAGGAUCCAGCGUUGCCGUGAGCUGUGGUGUAGGUUGCAAACGCAGCUCGGAUCCCACGUUGCUGUGGCUGUGUCUCAGGCCAGCAGCUGUAGCUCUGAUUAGACCCCUAGCCUGGGAACCUCCAUAUGCUGAGGGAGCGGCCCUAGAAAAGGC